GACGAACGCUGGCGGCGUGCUUAACACAUGCAAGUCGAACGGGUCUGCCCUGUUUUUUGCGGGGUGGGUCAGUGGCGAACGGGUGAGUAACACGUGAGUAACCUGCCCCUCUCUUCUGGAUAACCGCUUGAACGGGUGGCUACUACGGGUUGUUCUGGCUCUGCCGCAUGGUGUGGCUGGGAACGAUUCACCUUCGUGGUGUCUUGCUGCGGGCUGGGCUCGCGGCCUAUCAGCUUGUUGGUGGGGGGAUGGCCUGCCAAGGCUUUUACGGGUAGCCGGCCUGGGAGGGUGGGCGGUCACACUGGGACGGAGAUACGGCCCAGACUCGUGCGGGAGGCAGCAGGGGGGGGUAUUGCACAAUGGGCGGAAGCCUGAUGCAGCGACGUCGCGUGAGGGAUGGAGGCCUUCGGGUUGUGAACCUCUUUCGCCGGUGAAGAAGGUCCUGCUCUUUGUGGUGGGGUUGACGGUAGCCGGGUUAUGAAGCGCCGGCUAACUACGUG
This 500-nucleotide ribosomal RNA is filed under the name uncultured bacterium. Its description in RNAcentral is "partial 16S ribosomal RNA". It matches the Rfam family "Bacterial small subunit ribosomal RNA", at positions 28 to 507 of the family's 1533-position model. The record is from RNAcentral.